UACGUAGGGUGCAAGCGUUGUCCGGAAUUAUUGGGCGUAAAGAGCUCGUAGGCGGUUUGUCGCGUCUGCCGUGAAAGUCCGGGGCUCAACUCCCGGAUCUGCGGUGGGUACGGGCAGACUAGAGUGAUGUAGGGGAGACUGGAAUUCCUGGUGUAGCGGUGAAAUGCGCAGAUAUCAGGAGGAACACCGAUGGCGAAGGCAGGUCUCUGGGCGAUUAACUGACGCUGAGGAGCGAAAGCAUGGGG
Molecule: ribosomal RNA, 245 nt
Filed under: uncultured bacterium
Lineage: Bacteria
Description: partial 16S ribosomal RNA
Rfam family: Bacterial small subunit ribosomal RNA
Source: RNAcentral